GACGAACGCUGGCGGCGUGCUUAACACAUGCAAGUCGAACGGAAAGGCCCUGCUUUUGUGGGGUGCUCGAGUGGCGAACGGGUGAGUAACACGUGAGUAACCUGCCCUUGACUUUGGGAUAACUUCAGGAAACUGGGGCUAAUACCGGAUAGGAGCUCCUGCUGCAUGGUGGGGGUUGGAAAGUUUCGGCGGUUGGGGAUGGACUCGCGGCUUAUCCGCUUGUUGGUGGGGUAGUGGCUUACCAAGGCUUUGACGGGUAGCCGGCCUGAGAGGGUGACCGGCGACAUUGGGACUGAGAUACGGACCAGACUCCUACGGGAGGCAGCAGUGGGGAAUAUUGCACAAUGGGCGGAAGCCUGAUGCAGCAACGCCGCGUGCGGGAUGACGGCCUUCGGGUUGUAAACCGCUUUCGCCUGUGACGAAGCGUGAGUGACGGUAAUGGGUAAAGAAGCACCGGCUAACUACGUG
RNAcentral lists this ribosomal RNA (468 nucleotides) under uncultured bacterium. RNAcentral's name for it is "partial 16S ribosomal RNA". It matches the Rfam family "Bacterial small subunit ribosomal RNA", at positions 28 to 507 of the family's 1533-position model. The record is from RNAcentral.